AGGUGUUUAUUACUUUAUCUGUGUCGAUUAUUGUCAGUAAUAAGAUGAUUAUAAAAUAGGUUAAUUAAGUAUUCCACAAGUUAUAAGGAGAGAUAUAAGUGAUUUAGGUUAAUUAAGUAUUCCACAAGUUAUAAGGAGGGAUAUAAGUGAUUUAGAUGAAAAUUUUCCCUCUAACAUAGCAGGAGUAAUAUUAUUCUGAGUUGUUUGCAAGGUUCAAAGAGAAAUAUCCAAAAUCGAAUCUCAAGUUGAAAGGCACACAUAACUAGUAGAUAUUCGUUCUAAUCAGAAGAAGGUAAUUCCUCUCUCCAACACAUCAAUCACCAUCUGAUCCAAUCUAACGAUUGUCUGCACAACACGUCACAUUAUACACGAGCAAUUUCAACAACUUUUAGUAUAUAACGGUAAAGCUAGUUCUUCUCUGUCGCAUCUGAAGUAUUGAUCCACCGCAGCAAGACAUCAUCGCUAUGUUACUGUUCAUUUCUAGUUCUUGACAAUAUAGUGGCGUUGUAUGUGAAAACUGACUUCUGAUUCCUACUAAAUUUCUAAGAAAACCCAUCAUUUUCCACCAAAUAUCCAAAUCAUCCAUCUAAACCCACACAAAAAAAUUCUGAUAUUCCAAAAGUUGGUCAAGGAGCAUUCCAAACUCUCUCGUUCUUUAGAUCCCCACAACAUCCUCACCAAGGCGAACCAUCACACCGUCCACUUUCUCUACCUAUUAUAUCUGAAUAGGAAAUGCUCUCAAGUCAUUCAGUUGUUGCAAAUAAAUCUCAAAGUACAGAGCGCCAAAGACUUGUUAAGCAACAUCUACAACUUAACGCAUCAACAAAGCUCAUAAUUCCUAGCUAAAAGGAUAUCACCAUAUCAUCAAGUUGGACAUUGAGCAACUUAAGGAAUUUGAAGAUUACACACUUGUUCUUAGACAAGUGGGAGAUUGAAGAAUUUUGUCUUUCAAUCAAGUGUAUUAAUCUAAAUAUAAUUGGAAAAUUUAUGGAGAUAAAAUAUUCAAUAAUAUUAGAUAAUCAUAAGGCUUUGCCAGAAGCCAAUUAUGUUUUAUUAGACAAAGAUAUUUGACCAAAUACUAAUAUUAUUGGGUCCUAUGAAGUCACACAAAUAGUAACAUACAGAUUAAAUUGGGAGGAUAUGGAUUAGAAGAGAAAUUGGGAGGUUAUGGAUUGGAAAAGAAAUUAUCUUAAAAGGGAUUAUUAAGUCACAUAAUGUAUGACAUUAUGGGCUUAAUCAAUCCUCCUCCAUUUAAACCUAUGAUGAUUUCUGUUUGGGCUGCUUUUUUGUUAACUGAGGUCUAUGAUGAUUUAUGUUUGGUCUGCUUCGUUAUUAUUUGAGGCCUAUGAAUCUAUGAUAUUCUGAGUUGUGACUUAAUAGUGCUUAUUGAUUCAAUUAAGUUGCCUUGUUAGUUGUGAUUUAAUAGUGCCUAUGAUGAAUUCUAUUUGAUCCGCUUCAUUUGACAUCAAUUAUCUGAGGCCUAUUUUGUUACCUGCUUGUGUAUUUACUUGUUUCUGAGACCUAUUCUAUUACCUCCUUGUAUAUUGCCUAUGAUGAAAUUAAUUCUGAGGCCAUUAUAUGUUGCCUUGUGAAUUAUUACGAGGCCAUUAUAUGUUACAUUAUACUUUACUUUAUGCAAUAGGUAUAAGAUGAUCUUCAUCAAAUGGGUAUACCCCUUCUUGUAUCUAAAUCAUACUCAAGCAACUACCUAUGAACAAGAGUUGUCUAACAACUUAAGUUCCCUCUUCCAAUUGUAUCAAGAUACCUAUGGAACGAAUGAUGAGAUUACUCAUAUUGUAUAUGAAAGUCCAGAAGUAGGAUUUACUUUUGGAUUGGGUAGGAGGAAUUUUGAGAGGUUUUUAGAAACUAUUGUGGGUGAUAAUAAUUCAAAAUUUGAUCUUGAAUUAUAUCUUGAGGACCCUCCUUUGAAAGUUCCCCCUAAAGCUAAAUUUGAUGUUUUAACAUGGUGGAUAGGGAAUGCAGCCAAGUAUCCUGUUCUUAGUAAAUUAGUAAAGGAUAUCCUAACUGUUCCAAUUACAACUGUUGCUUCAGAAGCAACUUUUAGUGCUGGGAAAAGGAUUAUUGGUCCGAAACGAUCAUCUAUGAAAACUAAGACAGUUUAAAUGGUGUUUUGUGGAGGUGGCUGGGUGAAGGAGAAGUAUGAGAUUAAGAAGGGUUGUACUGCUUCAAUUAUAAGUAAAUUCUUGAGGAACCACAAGAUGAGCCUUUGACAUAUUAUUUUGGUGAAGAUCCGGGUGUCGCUUCUUCUACAACUGCAACUUGAAGAUUUGUAUUUGCAAUGCCAAUGAUGAGAUUGUUCUGAGGCAUCAUUAAUAUAAUGUAAUGCUAUUUUGUACAAUUUUGAAAACAUAAGUUUCAUAACUUAUGAUUUAACAAUGUAAUGUUAUUUUGUCCAAUGGUGAUACAACGUGUAUCAAAA
Molecule: long non-coding RNA, 2440 nt
Organism: Vicia villosa (hairy vetch)
Lineage: Eukaryota; Viridiplantae; Streptophyta; Magnoliopsida; Fabales; Fabaceae
Exons: 3
Source: RefSeq, a predicted model, not a curated record